GUAUUAAAGGUCUAGCCUGCCCAGUGAACAACUUUAACGGCCGCGGUAUCCUAACCGUGCAAAGGUAGCGUAAUCACUUGUUCUUUAAAUGAGGACUAGUAUGAACGGCUACAUGAGGGCCCGACUGUCUCCUGCAGCCAAUCAAUGAAACUGAUCUCCCAGUACAAAAGCUGGAAUAAACACAUAAGACGAGAAGACCCUGUGGAGCUUCAAACAAAUCUUAGCUCACCCUAUAAAGCCUAACUGACAUAAAAUUGGUGAAACUAAACGUUUUAAGUUGGGGCGACUGCGGGGAAAAACAAAACCCCCAUGGAAAACACUAUUUUAAGUGCACACACUGACAGUAAAAAUUUGAUCCAGUAUAGCUGAUUAACGAACCAAGUUACCCCAGGGAUAACAGCGCAAUCUCCUUCAAGAGUCCCUAUCGCCAAGGGGGUUUACGACCUCGAUGUUGGAUCAGGACAUCCAGACGGUGUAGCCGCUAUCAAGGGUUCGUUUGUUCAACGAUUAACAGUCCU
Molecule: ribosomal RNA, 518 nt
Filed under: Uroplatus henkeli
Lineage: Eukaryota; Metazoa; Chordata; Lepidosauria; Squamata; Gekkonidae
Description: partial 16S ribosomal RNA
Rfam family: Bacterial large subunit ribosomal RNA
Source: RNAcentral